CCUACGGGUGGCAGCAGUAGGGAAUCUUCCACAAUGGGCGAAAGCCUGAUGGAGCAACGCCGCGUGGGUGAAGAAGGUCUUCGGAUCGUAAAACUCUGUUGUUAGAGAAGUAAGCGCGUGAGCGUAACUGUUCACGUUUCGACGGUAUCUAACCAGAAAGCCACGGCUAACUACGUGCCAGCAGCCGCGGUAAUACGUAGGUGGCAAGCGUUAUCCGGAUUUAUUGGGCGUAAAGGGAACGCAGGCGGUCUUUUAAGUCUGAUGUGAAAGCCUUCGGCUUAACCGGAGUAGUGCAUUGGAAACUGGGAGACUUGAGUGCAGAAGAGGAGAGUGGAACUCCAGGUGUAGCGGUGAAAUGCGUAGAUAUAUGGAAGAACACCAGUGGCGAAAGCGGCUCUCUGGUCUGUAACUGACGCUGAGGUUCGAAAGCGUGGGUAGCAAACAGGAUUAGAUACCCGGGUAGUC
Molecule: ribosomal RNA, 465 nt
Filed under: uncultured bacterium
Lineage: Bacteria
Description: partial 16S ribosomal RNA
Rfam family: Bacterial small subunit ribosomal RNA
Source: RNAcentral